Long non-coding RNA from Manis pentadactyla (Chinese pangolin), 568 nucleotides. RefSeq lists it as uncharacterized. NCBI's taxonomy places the organism in Eukaryota, Metazoa, Chordata, Mammalia, Pholidota, Manidae. The record is from RefSeq and is a predicted model, not a curated record. The transcript is spliced from 5 exons.
CUUGGGGACGAUGGAGACGUUCCCUCCAUGUGGCCAACAUCUACGGGACUAUGGGAUUCUACUAAACUGCAGUGUUCCCCACAGAGGAGUCGUGAUUCAGAAGGAAGCCAAAACCGCCAGUUAAACACCAUUAUGGCUGCUUGUGUUUAACCGCCAUCGCACAAACAGCCUUGAGGAGAAUUCAACAGCCUACUCAGAGCACUCUUCUUGGCUUAUUUCCUCGCAAAGGCCUUCAGAAGAAACCAAGACUCUAUUUCAUCUUUUCUCACAGGCCAGUUAUAUACCGUUUUGGCUGCUUGUCUUUAACUGCCAUCUCACAAACAGCCUUGAGGAGAAUUCAACAGCCUACUCAGAGCUUCCCCUGUCACAGACUUGGAGGUAGAUCAGUCUGUGUUUGAAAUUCCCGAAUCUUACCACGUUCAAGACAAUGGCAGAAACGUGCAGUUGCAAGAUGGAGAAUCGGAGAUAAUGCAGUUUGCCAUCCAGCAGAGCCUGCUGGAGUCCGGCAGCAGCCAGGCCGAUCAUCAUAGUGUGGUUCUGUAGUGAGUAUGUGAUGAAAUCAGCAGUA